This is a long non-coding RNA of Gasterosteus aculeatus aculeatus (three-spined stickleback), 4048 nucleotides long. NCBI's taxonomy places the organism in Eukaryota, Metazoa, Chordata, Actinopteri, Perciformes, Gasterosteidae. The record is from Ensembl.
AACUCUUUUAAAGUAAAACUUAAAACGUUCCUCUUUGAUUCUGCCUAUAGUUAGAGCUGGCUCAGGUUAGUCCGGACCAGCCCUUAGUUAAGCUGCUAUAGGCUUAGAAUGCCGGGGGAAUUCUUAGGACACACCGAGCUCCUCUCGCGCUCUCGUUCUACCAUAAUUCAAGUUUUAUUAAUGCACAUGACUAAUUCAGCUUCUUUCCGGGAGUUUUUUUUGUGCUUUCUCCCCUAUCAGGUCUCCGUAGAUUGUGGUUCCUUCGGGACCCUGGUCCUGACACCUACCGUGGCCAUGCUGACGCCUGCUGCUGCCAUCAUCAUCAUCAUCAUUAUUUUAGAUAUUAAUCAUAUUACUGUACUCAUAAACCGACAUUACCCUCUCCUAAAGUCUCUGUGCUCUCCCUCCCCACAGGCUUCUGUGGAUGGUGGUUCUAGCUGAUGGUGGUUGCCCCUGCAGUGGUUCUGCUGUGCGCCUGGCUUACUACUCACAAUUACUUGAAUCAUUUCUGUCAUAGGAGUUGCAUGUAUUAUACAUUGUUCAUUCUGUACACAUGGCAUCCAUUGUAGUCUGUCCAUCCCGGGAGUGGGAUCCCUCCUCUGACGUUCUCCCUAAGGUUUCUUCCCUUUUUUCCCUCCUGUAAGGGUUUUUUCAUUUUUUGGGGAGUUUUUCCUGUGCCGAUGGUGGGUUUCGGGGCAGAGGAUGUUGUAUGUGUACAGACUGUAAAGCCCUCUGAGGCAAAAUUGUAAGUUGCGAUUAUGGGCUAUACAAAAUAAAAUGAAUUGAAUUGAAUAGAUGAUUAAGCAGCAGUUCCUAGGAAAGAGAAAAAAAUUUCUGUCAUGUAAACUACCAAUAGAUAAACAAAAUCAUUACUGUAAGACCAGUAUAUAAUCUAUAGUAAUGAUUACUAACUUACAUACUUCUACAGCUGAAAUCCGCAUUCAUUUAAGUCCAACUGAAGACUGUUCUGUUCAUUUUUCCAUUAGCUGGAAGUAACUUUAAGGUUACCACGACCAUGCUGAGUGACUAGUUAACACAUUACUCGUUAAAUCCGAAACCUCAUUCAUUUGUGCUUAUUCAAAACUGCUUUUUGUAAAGUCAAACUAGUAUCAUAACUUCUACUCAACUGUCUUUACUUUAAGAACUUUAUUAAAAUUCAGUGACAGAUCACAAUCUCUGCUUCACAACUGUAAGGUCGUAUGGGACAAUAAACCGUUGUCACAUUAUAACGUGUAUAUGUCUAAUAUGUUCGUGUUUUUGGUGGGGUUUUUAUGAUACUAUAUAAUGUAUGACAUCGUACUGAGAGCUUGAAAAAACAACAACAACAACCGAACGGCAUCUCGUUUAACUUCCGCUUAUUUCACGUUCAAUGUACAAAUGUCAGCUGUCUAUUAAUGAAUCUUACAGACACAAACCACACCGAUGGCAUAUAAUAGAGUUAGACAUGAUAUGGUCGUGCAUGUAAACAGCAUAACCUGCAUGUACUGUCGGGGUUAUGCGUCUGCACACGCUCCGCUAAAGCCGCUGCCCCCCCAACUACGCUGCAGCGGCUCCUAUGCGCUCUACAGGCGCGUUCCUGGUUUCAAAACUCCGCCGAUCACUCCUAAUAGCUCGUCGAAGCAUCCCAGCAUCAUUAACUUAAUUCAAAACUAGAAGAAAAUGCGUAGUUCAUGUCCUAUGCAGUCUGUUAAUGUACAAAUGUUAGCUGUCUAUUACUGAACCUUACAGACACAAACCACACUGAUGGCAUAAAGUUAAAGUUAAAACACUCACCGAAGCUCCAUUGUUAACGGACAUGGCUAAAAUCCUAUCAUCAUGUUAGCCGACAGCCGAAGUUGUGUUGGGGCGCUCGCUCCUUUUGCUUGACGCACGCUUCCAAUGUUGACUCUAGAAUCGAUUGCUCUUCCUUGGGUUCCCGGAUGUUGCGGUUGAAUUUUUUUGCAUUGAAUUUUUGCAUUGAAUUAUUUGCGGUUUAAUUAUUUGCAGUUGAAUAUUUUAACGUUGAAAAACAUUCAGAUACAUGAUUUCAAUGCAUAAAUAUUCAGUGCUAGCAAUUCAAUCACCUUUUUCUUUCAAAAUCCGAUGACACAGAUUUACUUCCAUACAUCAUAAAUAGCCUAUACAGCAGGUUUUUUUUCACAUUGAGAACUGACUUGUUUUCUAAUCUACGCGUCACCAGGCAUUUUUCUUGUCCUUUCACCGUGGACGACCAGCGAACACAAAGUGCGCGACUACUACACCCGCCUCCCCACGUCGGUCGUUCCGCCCGCAACGAUCCGCGAAAUAUUGUCUGACAUGAAACCGGUCCGUGAGGUAAAAAAGGUUGGCGACCACUGGGCUGAUCCACAACGUGUGUUUACACACCUCCUGGAUCCUGAUUGGUGUCGCUGCUGCAGCCGCAAGGCACUGAUUGGAUGGUCACAGACCGUAAUACAACGCAGAUGAAAAUGAUUCAGACUACGGUGUUUUGUUCAACUGUAGGAAACGUAGUCUUAGCUGUUUUAAAAUUACACCAAGUUUAUUUCGGAUUAUUCCAACGGAAGAAUACAAGGCGACGAGAACUUUGAGGUGCGUGAAGGCCACUUAGAGGUGCGUAAACGCUAUUUCUAAAAUUCUAGAGGUGCGUAAACGGCGUUUACGUGCAUUUAUCCUCCACUACAGCCCUGGGUGCAGGUGAUUGGACACAGGUGGAAACAGACGAUCACAAGGAACGACAGGACAAGGCAGGUGAAGUGAAGUUACCCAGGGAGACAAGAAGCAGAAAACUACACAAUAAGACAGGAAACAAAACCACAGCGUGACAAUGUUGUUUGUUAUUGUAAUGUUUAGACUUUACAUACUUAAAGAUUAUGCGGGUUAGGAUUAUCAUCAAGGUUGAAAUUUGUACAGCACACAUUUUAGCUAAUCCAAUAAACUGAACAAGUGUAUUUGAAAAUUAGAUGUAUGAAUAAUUGUAUCCUUUUUUCUAAUCUAGAGGAUGCUUGUAGAAGUGCAGAAGAAAGAUCCAUAUUCACAGUUCCUGGAUGAAUGAACGAAGAAAAGAAAUCAUUGGUGAUGAGCCACUCAUCUCUGCAGUCAUGGACAAAUGGCCUGCAUUGUUUAGUGAAAGACAGGUAAUGUUUGCCAACUGACUAUAACAAAGACAUCCUGUAUUUUGUUACUUGAAUAUUGAUAUAGCAGAGCUGCCAACUUUUCAAAAAACCUUGGAGUGAGAUUUUGUCGGGGGUGACCAAGAUUUUGCCGCGCACGCAGCCACACAUGUUGGUGGCUCAAAUAUCAGGAAAUUGGAAUUCAUUUGGCGUAGUACCCAUGUUGUACCCUGCAUUCUGGUGGUUUGUGGGGCCCAAAGUCGUUGAUAGGGGCGGCCUACUGGAGAUGGACAACAUUGGUUACAUUCUGUGAAGCAAAGACAUAGCAUGGUCCACCCCCAGGACAUUUUUGUUUAAGUAGAUGUUAUUUCAUGCAAUCUAGUGGAUUUUUGGUUGGUGUGCCUGAACUUAUUCUGAUUCAUGUUCAUCUGCUCAUGACUUAUGGGGCCUUCUAGACUUGAGCUGAACAUUCAACCAGAAAACUAUUGCUGUGCCUCAAUGACUGUCUAUGUACCACAAUAUAGCCUAAUUAAUAGAGGUGUAACAAAUCAUCCACUGAAUUGAUUAAUCGAUUUAUAUUCCUGCAAUCCAACUGAAUCGAUCUGUGCUCUGCAAAUCGGCAUUGCAGACGACAUAUAUCGAUUUGAAAUGGUACAUAAUCGAUUUGUAUCGAUACUUGGAAACUGCACAUUGGAUUUAAGCACAAAAACUGUAUGGAUGUGUGUUUGUUUGUUUGUUUAUUAGCACUUUAGACACGCUAAACGUUACUCGAUUCAGUCUGCCUGUCUGUGACGUCAUUAGUACGCAGCGGCAGCUGCCUCGCCAGUACCAAACUCAACAUCACAGUAACAAUUUCCAAGUUUAUCUGUAAAGACAUGCGACCCUACAAUGUGGUUGAAAAUCCAGGGUUCUGUGAAUUUAUCCAAAAAUGGUGUAAUUAUUGUGUAAUGUUUACAUUG